GGGGAAGUAGCUCAGCUGGUCAGAGCAGCAGACUCAUAAUCUGUCAGGUCGUGGGUUCGAGCCCCACCUUCCCCACCA
Molecule: transfer RNA, 78 nt
Filed under: Pseudonocardiaceae bacterium YIM PH 21723
Lineage: Bacteria; Bacillati; Actinomycetota; Actinomycetes; Pseudonocardiales; Pseudonocardiaceae
Description: tRNA-Met
Rfam family: tRNA
About the family: Transfer RNA (tRNA) molecules are approximately 80 nucleotides in length. Their secondary structure includes four short double-helical elements and three loops (D, anti-codon, and T loops).
Source: RNAcentral